ACGACUGUAGCCUGUGGAGACACCGGUUCCCCUACGAUUACCGAAGUUAAGCAACGUUGAACAUGGUUAGUACCUAGAUGGGUGAAUGUUUGGAAAUAUCAGGUGCUGUAU
Non-coding RNA from Acanthosepion pharaonis, 111 nucleotides. The record is from the annotation of a GenBank genome assembly. Lineage: Eukaryota; Metazoa; Mollusca; Cephalopoda; Sepiida; Sepiidae.